GCUGGGUACGGUGGCGCACACCUGUAAUCCCAGAGACUUGGGAGGCUGAAGCAGGAGGAUGGCGAGUUCAAGGCCAGCCUCAGCAACUAGGGAGGCCCUAAGCAACUCAGAGAGACCCUGUUUCUA
RNAcentral lists this small RNA (126 nucleotides) under Marmota monax (woodchuck). Lineage: Eukaryota; Metazoa; Chordata; Mammalia; Rodentia; Sciuridae. The record is from RNAcentral.